AGUGUCGUGGCAUCGGGAGAGAGCAUUGCGACACUUGACCAUUUUCCGCACGAGCGCUCAAGCAUUUGCACAUCUUGACCUUCAAGCACCAUUCUAUGGUGCUCACUACUACAAAUUUGACAUUUCUUGAUGCACAUCUUGACCUUCAAGCACCAUUCUACGCCAUUUUACGGUGCUCACUACUAUAUGAUUUUUUGAAGGCAUUUUGAUUUUCAGUUUAUUGCUUGAACAGAAGUUGAAAAAUGAGUUUUGGAGUCCUAAGGCAACGAAUUGCAUUUGGAGGAUCUAAUUUGGAGAAAAAGAUUUGAAGCUGCAGGCCCAACAAACAUCUAAUGCUCCUAAAAAGAGUGAGAAGAAGAGAUCUAUAGGAGGUGGAGAUGUAGAAAAUGUCGAGGCUUUUGUUAAUCCUGACACCCCUUUUGGUAAAAAGAACUAUUGUCUCAGCAAAUGGCAAAGCAAUAGAAUCUGGGUGCCGUGGAGAAAUCGAUGCCGUUGUUCGAUGGUAGAGAAUGUCUAGAUACAACACUUAAUGGGUUUCUGUGACAGACCACACUACUAAAGCUUUCAAAUUUUGCAUUUUACUUUUCUUUUCCUUUGGCAUUAUUGAUGGGAUGGGUCAUGCAUUAGUAAGCAUGAUAAUAAAGUUUUUUCCUUAGUGGUUGAAUACAAUUAAAAUAGUAUUGUCAUUAUCUAUCAUUUUGAUGUUCGCUUAACAUGUAAAUUAUAAAUUAUAAAUGAAAGACAUAGCAUCUAAUCUGGUUAAAGUAA
Long non-coding RNA from Cucumis melo (muskmelon), 768 nucleotides. RefSeq lists it as uncharacterized. NCBI's taxonomy places the organism in Eukaryota, Viridiplantae, Streptophyta, Magnoliopsida, Cucurbitales, Cucurbitaceae. The record is from RefSeq and is a predicted model, not a curated record. The transcript has 4 exons.